This 116-nucleotide ribosomal RNA is filed under the name uncultured bacterium. RNAcentral's name for it is "partial 16S ribosomal RNA". It matches the Rfam family "Bacterial small subunit ribosomal RNA", at positions 1358 to 1482 of the family's 1533-position model. The record is from RNAcentral.
CGCGGUGAAUACGUUCCCGGGUCUUGUACACACCGCCCGUCAAGCCAUGGAAGCUGGGUGUACCUAAAGUCGGUAACCGCAAGGAGCCGCCUAGGGUAAAACUAGUAACUGGGGCU